Molecule: non-coding RNA, 29 nt
Filed under: Mus musculus (house mouse)
Lineage: Eukaryota; Metazoa; Chordata; Mammalia; Rodentia; Muridae
Source: RNAcentral
UACAAAAGCUGCUAUCUGUUGCCUCCGUC